This 1083-nucleotide long non-coding RNA is filed under the name Anser cygnoides (Swan goose). Its description in RNAcentral is "lncRNA (ENSACDG00005005538.1)". Lineage: Eukaryota; Metazoa; Chordata; Aves; Anseriformes; Anatidae. The record is from RNAcentral.
AUGGAGGGCUACAAGCUUUACAGGAGAGAUAGGCAGGGAAGGAAGAGUGGGGGUGUUGCCCUCUGUGUUAAGAAGCGGAUAGAUUGUGAAGAGUUGCCACUGAGAAACAGCCGCAAGCAGGCUGAGAGCCUGUGGAUAAAAAUUAAGCAUCAGACCAAUAAAGGGCACCUUGUGGUUGGGGUCUACUACAGGCUGCCCAAACAAGGGGAGCCUUUUGAUGAACCCUUCUUGCUCCAACUACAAGAAGCAUUGUGCUCACAGGCUCUCAUCCUGCUGGGGGAUUUCAACCACCUGGAUGUCUGCUGGAAAAGCUACAUGGAAGGCAAUAAGCAAUCCAGGAGACCCCUGGAGUGCACUGAGGACAACUUCCUUGUCCAGGUAUUAGACAAACCAACCAGAGGAGAAGCGUUUCUAGACCUGGUGUUCACCAAUGUGCAUGACCUCAUUAAAGAGGUCAAGAUUGGAGGCAGUCUGAGUUGCAGUGACCGUGCCCUGUUUGAGCUUGUGAUCUUGAGGGAUGUGGGCCUGGCAAAGAGCAAAGUCAGGACCCUCAACUUUAGAAGAGCAAACUUCCAGUUGUUCAAAGAAUUAGUGGAUGAGAUCCCAUGGGACACUGUCCUUAGGGACAGAGGACCUGAUCAGAGCUGGCAACUCUUUAAGGAUAUUUUUCUUAGAGUGCAAGAGCUCUCCAUCCCUGUGUGCAAUAAAUCAAGCAGGGAAGGCAGGAAACCAGUAUGGCUGAGCAAUGACCUCCUGGUCAAACUUAGGCAAAAGAAGGAACUGCACAGGCAGUGGAAACAGGGCCGUGUGCCCUGGGAAGAGUACAGAAACCCUGUCUGGACAUGCAGGGAUGAGAUCAGGAAAUCCAAGGCAGUGACAGAGCUAAACUUGGCCAGGGAUACAAAAAAUAACAAGAAAGGAUUCUACGGGUACAUUGACCAGAAAAGAAAGACUAGUGAGAGUAUAUCACCUCUGAAAAAUGUAUAUGGAGGACUGGUAACAACAGUCAUGGAGAAGGCUGAGGUACUUAACAACUUCUUUGCCUCAGUCUUCACUGGCAGUCAGGCUUCCCACAUCUCUUGA